RNAcentral lists this long non-coding RNA (1106 nucleotides) under Papio anubis (olive baboon). RNAcentral describes it as "lncRNA (ENSPANG00000039517.1)". The record is from RNAcentral. Lineage: Eukaryota; Metazoa; Chordata; Mammalia; Primates; Cercopithecidae.
UGUGUAUAAGAGAGAUACACAUAUUAGUUACUUAUGAGAAUGUAGUUUUAUCUAGCCUUCACCCCCACCCCAAAAAUAGCAACAUGCAGUCCAAUUCUGGAUACUUGCCUUUGCUCAACAUUUUGUAUUUAUUUUUAAGGACUAAAUAAAAUGUACUUGCAGCCUUGAUUUUUAUCUUUUUUUUUUUUUUUUAGGAGUCCACAUCGAUUAAAACACCGUCCUAAGUCCUGACAUUUAUUAUGCAAUUUAUUUCCCCCUAGAAAGAAGAUUAAAAUUUAAUUCAGAGACAGGAAACAAAUAAGAGCCAAUCAAUUAUAUGCUGGGGCUUUAUAAGCACAACAGACUGAACGAUUCUGCUUUAUGAAUGGACCUAGUUUAUUAAUGUGACCACAGAGACUUCCUGAGGUUCUGAAACACCUGUGUCCUAUAGCAGUGCUGCUCACACUUGCCUAAUGAGAACAAUUGCCAAGGGAGGUUGCUAGAAUGCAUAUUCCUGAACCACAAUCCAAACCUAGUCACAGGGCCAAGUUCUUCAUUAACCACAGUAGAUGCUACUUUAUAUUUUAGAAGAUGAUACCACGAUCAUGAAUGCACUAGAGGAAUCUGCAGGGAAUGUUUUGUGGUGAUACUUGCAUCUGUGAAGCCCUUGUCCUCCAGAAAGAAAGCAUGUACUUUAAAGGUUAAAUUCUUGUGCCCUGUUCAAAUAUACAGGUAACUUUAGGUAAUAACAAGAAAAAUAGAGAAUGCUUGUUGGUUUUAGUUUUAAUAAAACUGGAAUGGAGACUCAGCUAAGACAACUAACAUAUAUAAUUACUUCAUUUUAACAAAGAAUACUUUGGUACUUUGACCAAAAAAAGUAGUUGAUUGCUUCCUUUGUCUAGACAAAAUCACUUUGUAAUCUUUGUAGAGCUAGGUCUAGGAAAUGAUUAAGUUAUACAAUAUUUAAGCCUAGUUUUCAUGCAACACUAAUAAUUCUAUCGCAUUUUUCUUUCUUUCAGUAAUUCAUCUGGAAUUACAAUAUUUGAGCCCUACAUUAAGCCCUACAUUAAGUGUUUCAUAUAUAAAUUAUUUACAUUCUUAUUUUAAGAAAUCUGUUUCUGAAUAAG